UCAAUUUCCCGACGAAUGCAAAUUUCACUUCCUUCGCCCUCCCCCCAAAAAAAUUUAAAAGUCCCUCUGGGGAAGAGAGUCUUCUUAAAAUGUUGUCGUCGCAAGCCAAGCAAAUGUACAAUUCGCAAUUUAGAAACACGUACGUGGCGUGAACGAGAGGAAAUAGUUCCUUGUACAUACCUAAAGAAUUUGAUAAAUUUGUUCGUUGUACAUUUAGCUGGAUUUUGCAUAAAGUAAACAUACGAUUUAAAAUUGCGCUCAACUUGGAAAUUGUGUUUUUUUUUUUAUUUACGGUAUAGAAUCCUCUACAGGAUUAUUAGCAGCAUGCACAUUGCUGUGCAUACUAACAGUGCAGAAACAAUUUCGCAGACUUUUGUACACUGAUAUACAACUAAGAUACAUGUUUGCUAUUUACAUACUUAUAACUAGAGCUUACAAUUAAAACUAAGAGAACUGUUAAGUGACUGAAAAACACAGCCAAGCACUCGACAUAGAUCCGUUACAGAUGCCAAUCAUGGCUUUUGAGAAAUUUGUGAAUAAUCAACAGAGGAGUAAUAUGUGGUUUGCUUAAAAAGAAGUCCAUUGUGUGGGGAGGAAAAUAACCCAUUCCACAUAGUUUAAUUAAGACAUUCCUAUUGUCAUUGAGAUUGGGGCACUGCCAAAUUAUAUAGUUGAGAUCUUGAACUGCCACAUUGACAUUUUGCAUCAAGAGCUAAAUUAAUUUUGAAGAGGGAAGCAGCUAAUUGCACGUGAUCUGCUCGGAGUCUGUUCGUCCAGCAAAUAAAGUUUCUAGGGAGUUUUCUACGUGAAAACUAUGGUUUAGUAGAAGGAUGGUAGUAGCUUUUGAAGAAUUUUUUACCCUUAAAUUCAGAUUCCGAGAUAUUCUGUCUUUCUGUUUCCGUCUUAGCCUGCUUCUUAAAGCUAAGGGAAAAAUCAGAAAAUGGAACCAAUAUGUCUGGCGAGAUAUUAGUACAUGACGCUUUUUUAGCUAAACUGUCCGCUUUUUCGUUAAAAGUAAUACCAAUGUGAGAGGGAAUCCAGUAAAAAUAUAGUUUUUUAUUGCCUGAAGAGUAGCGGUUUAUAAGCCUUCAAAUAUCGAGAAUAAAUGGCCAUGCUCCUCACCUGAGCACGCCUCUAAAAUUCUGAUGCCCCAUAUACUCCAUAACGACACGUAACUCUUAUUAUUCAAAAACUGAAUUCUUCUUGACCUGGCCCAAGGAAGCCUGAAACAAGCCUAAAACGAGCUUCCAAAGAACGUGACAUCCGUGAAA
This is a long non-coding RNA of Frieseomelitta varia, 1271 nucleotides long. RefSeq lists it as uncharacterized. The transcript has 2 exons. The record is from RefSeq and is a predicted model, not a curated record. NCBI's taxonomy places the organism in Eukaryota, Metazoa, Arthropoda, Insecta, Hymenoptera, Apidae.